Molecule: long non-coding RNA, 2646 nt
Filed under: Salmo salar (Atlantic salmon)
Lineage: Eukaryota; Metazoa; Chordata; Actinopteri; Salmoniformes; Salmonidae
Description: lncRNA (ENSSSAG00000118938.1)
Source: RNAcentral
GGUGGUAGGAGUCAGGCGCAGAGAGCAGAGGUAAGGAACUUUGUGUUUAUUCCAACAAAACACAACACGAUCGACGCCAACACAACCGGCGUGAAAAAUGCAAAGUGCCCAGAACCACAGGUACACAGCAUGCAUAAACAAAUAACAAUUGUCGAUCGCCAGCACAUCCAAAUACAAAACACAACCUGACGCUAAAUAAUCCCGCACAAACCUGGGCGGGCUAAACAGGCUUAAAUAACCAAAAAUCAAAAGAACCAAAUGAGGAACAGGUGCAAACAAUAAGACAUACCAAACGAAAAGGAAAAAGGGAUCAGCGGCGGCUAGUAGGCCGGUGACGACGACCGCCGAGCGCCGCCUGAGCAGGCAGGGGAGCCACCUUCGGUGGGAUUCGUGACACAGUAUCACCCCGUCAAGGUAAAGAUAGUAUUCUUUCUAACAAAGAUAUCACUAUAUUUUUCAGGAUGUUGUAUAUCCUUGGAAAUAAUCAUAAUCCAUGUCAAUAUUACAGUUUUGAAAACAUAGCUUGUAUAAAAAAAAGUGUUAUUUUGGCACAACUUACCCUGGGUAUGUAUGGUGUAAAUUGAUCUGCAGGAAGUGGUAAGUUAAGCUGCCUAUAAAAAUCUGUACUGAAUAAAAUAUUACCACGACCCUUUUAAAACCAUGUCUAUCUUUAUUUCCCAAACACUUAGCAACAGAAUUACAAUCACUUUUUUCUCUUUUAAUAAUUUAAGCAUAUUUUAACACAGGCUAAAUGCCUAACAAACACUUCUGUACUUUUUUAAACACUUUUAACAUAGGCAAGGCCCUGUUGUUACCUCACAUCCCAGUGAUAAUGCCUUGCAUUACGCAUGAGAAGAAAACACUUCAAUUUGCUCAACUUUCCAUUGGCUCCACUUACCCCAAGACAAACAUUGACUAUAUUAGCCCACACAACUAAAAUGAUGCACUUUCAUGCUAGAUUUAGGACCUCAUGUUGAAGCUUAUAGAGACCACAACUGAUGUAUAGAACAAUCUGAAAAUGAUCUACUUUGGUUUAGAUACAAGCAUCAUGAAACCUCUAACACAAUAAAUUCAUUUGACUUGGUGAAAAUCUGUUUUUUGGACCUAACUUGCUUUUCCAUGUGGUUCCUUCCUUCAUGUACACCAUACAAUUAUGACUUCUUUCUAAAUAUUGGGUCAAAUUAUUAAUUUUGUGUAUGGUAUCCUAGAAACAAGGGUGGCUCAAUUUACCCCUUUGGCUCAAAUUACCACACUCUCCCCUCUACCUUGCAUGUAAGUCUCUAGAACAAUUCCUUCCCUUCUUCCUUGAAGAAAUCACUAUACACUGCGUGCACAAUUAUCAGGCAAGUGAGUAUUCUGAUCUUAUCAUUAUUUCUAUUCACAUUUUCGAACUCCAAACCAUAUAAACUUGAAUGCUUAUUGGAUUUAAUCAUUUUCAGGUGAUAUGUAUUUGUGUAAUGAGGGAGGGUGUGGCGAAAGGAAUAACACCACAUCAAGGUGUGCAUAAUUAUUAGGCAGCCUCAUUACCUCAGGUAAAAUGGGCCAAAAAAAGAGAUUUAACUGACACUGAAAAGCCAAAAAUUUAAAAUGCCUUUCAGACGGAUGCGACACUCUUUAAAUAGCUAAACUAUUGUGGCAUGACCACCGGACAAUCAAACGUUUUGUUGCGAAUAGUCAACUGGGGUGCAAAAAACGCAUGGGGAAGAAAAGGCGCAAAUUAACUGCAAAAGACUUGAGAAGAAUUAAACGUCAAACUACCAGGAACCCAUUAUCCUCCAGUGCCACCGUAUUCCAGAUCUGCAACCUACCUGGAGUGUUCAAAAGUACAAUGUGACAAGUGCUCAGAGACAUGGCCAAGGUCAAAAAGACUGAAACAAGACCACCACUGAAUAAGAUUCACAAGUUGAAGCAUCAAGAUUGGGCAAAGAAAUACCUGAAGACAGAUUUUUCAAAGGUUUUAUGGACAGAUGAAAUGAAAGUGACUCUUGAUGGACCAAAUGGAUGGGCCCGUGGCUGGAUCAGUAAUGGACACCGGGCACCACUUUGAGUCAGGUGCCAGCAAGGUGAAGGAGGGGUACUGGUAUGGGCUGCUAUCAUUGAGGAUGAGGUAGUUGGACCUUUUCGGGUUGAAGAUGGACUGAAACUCAACUCCCAAACCUACUGCCAGUUUCUGGAAGAUUCUUUCAUCAAACAGUGGUACAGGAAGAAGUUCUAGAAGGCCAUGAUCUUUAUGCAGGACAAUGCUCCAUCACAUGCAUCCAAGUACUCCACUGCUUGGCUAGCCAGCAAGGGCCUCAAAGAUGCCUGAAUAACGACCUGGCCCCCUUCCUCACCUGACUUAAAUCCUAUUGAGAACUUGUGGGCCCUUCUCAAACGUGAGAUUUACACUGAGGGAAGACAAUAAACCUCUUUGAACAGCAUUUGGGAGGCUGUGGUUGCUGCUUCUGCGAAAAUUGAUCGUGAACAUGGAUGGAAGGCUCAUGGCAGUUCUUGAAAAUAAGGGUGGCUAUAUUGGUCACUGAAUAUUUUUGAAAGGCCAAAAAUUUUAUAUAAUUGUAAUUUUGUGUUACUUAUCUGUUACACUUACUCUAAAAAUUGAGAAUCAACAAGUGAGUUGAGAGAAAUUAUUUUUGUAAUUUAGUUGCC